Molecule: ribosomal RNA, 427 nt
Filed under: uncultured bacterium
Lineage: Bacteria
Description: partial 16S ribosomal RNA
Rfam family: Bacterial small subunit ribosomal RNA
Source: RNAcentral
UGGGGAAUAUUGGACAAUGGGCGAAAGCCUGAUCCAGCCAUGCCGCGUGUGUGAAGAAGGUCUUCGGAUUGUAAAGCACUUUAAGUUGGGAGGAAGGGCAUUAACCUAAUACGUUAGUGUUUUGACGUUACCGACAGAAUAAGCACCGGCUAACUCUGUGCCAGCAGCCGCGGUAAUACAGAGGGUGCAAGCGUUAAUCGGAAUUACUGGGCGUAAAGCGCGCGUAGGUGGUUUGUUAAGUUGGAUGUGAAAUCCCCGGGCUCAACCUGGGAACUGCAUUCAAAACUGACUGACUAGAGUAUGGUAGAGGGUGGUGGAAUUUCCUGUGUAGCGGUGAAAUGCGUAGAUAUAGGAAGGAACACCAGUGGCGAAGGCGACCACCUGGACUAAAACUGACGCUCAGGUGCGAAAGCGUGGGGAGCAAACA